ACAGCUAUAUCAAGCCACUUCACGCUGUGAAGAACAGCAGCAAGACAAGGAACAAUGCCAGUAAGCACUGAAUUUUUAGGGAAAUAUGGUCACCUUACACUGGAUGUACUCAAGCGUCUAGUGGAGCCUGCAGUGCUAUUUGAAUGGAAGGGGCAGUCUCCUAUGAUGGUAGAAGAAAUAGGAGAUUGUCACUCGUGACCACCAUAGAAGAUGGGGUAAUGGGAAAGUACAGGAGAAUCGCCUGCCAGUGGAAGAUACUGAAAGCAACAAGUUCCUACAGUGAACCAGAAGAGUCCCAGUGUCCUCACCCCACCCAGCUACUGAUCCACCAGAACCUUCACACCUAGUCAGCUCUGCAACAUUCAGCCAUGGGCUUGGACUGCCAGCCACACCCGUCCUCACUCCACAGUGCAGUUAUGAGACAGCGCUGUACCAUAGUGCAGCUCUCCCCGUCCACUGGGUCACCGAGGGAUGGACUAGCCUCCCACUGGAGGAGGCACAGCAACAGCUCCUCACCCCGCAACAUCUGGACUCUUAUGUGGGUACACAUCAAAAGAAAGGAAAAGCUGUGGUUCCCCUAGCCUGUCUAAAUAAAGGCUGGGUAAAAGU
Molecule: non-coding RNA, 609 nt
Organism: Chelonoidis abingdonii (Abingdon island giant tortoise)
Lineage: Eukaryota; Metazoa; Chordata; Testudines; Testudinidae
Source: RefSeq, a predicted model, not a curated record